Small nuclear RNA from Phyllostomus discolor (pale spear-nosed bat), 107 nucleotides. The record is from RefSeq and is a predicted model, not a curated record. NCBI's taxonomy places the organism in Eukaryota, Metazoa, Chordata, Mammalia, Chiroptera, Phyllostomidae.
GUGCUCGCUUCGGCAGCACAUAUACUAAAAUCGGCAAGAUACAGAGUACGUUAGCAUGGUUUCUGUGCAAGGAUGCCAUUCAAAUUUGCAAAGUGUUCCAUUAUUUU